RNAcentral lists this ribosomal RNA (506 nucleotides) under uncultured bacterium. Its description in RNAcentral is "partial 16S ribosomal RNA". The stretch from base 21 to 331 matches the Rfam family "Bacterial small subunit ribosomal RNA", at positions 48 to 357 of the family's 1533-position model. The record is from RNAcentral.
GACGAACGCUGGCGGCGUGCUUAACACAUGCAAGUCGAACGGAAAGGCCCUGCUUUUGUGGGGUGCUCGAGUGGCGAACGGGUGAGUAACACGUGAGUAACCUGCCCUUGACUUUGGGAUAACUUCAGGAAACUGGGGCUAAUACCGGAUAGGAGCUCCUGCUGCAUGGUGGGGGUUGGAAAGUUUCGGCGGUUGGGGAUGGACUCGCGGCUUAUCAGCUUGUUGGUGGGGUAGUGGCUUACCAAGGCUUUGACGGGUAGCCGGCCUGAGAGGGUGACCGGCGAGAUGAGGAUGGAGUGCCGGUCGAGACUGCAGCGGGGGGCAGUGGUGGAUAAUACGCGACGAGUGGGGGUAGCCCGCUGGCUGGGGGCGGCGGGGGGGAUGGCUGGGUGGGGGGGUGAAGCGUUUGGCGAGUGUGAGGAGGGGUGGGUGAGGGUAAGGUGGAAAGAAGCAGGGGGUAACGACGUGGAAGCAGGGUAAGAAUGGUGAGGAGACCCCUUGUGACC